Molecule: ribosomal RNA, 421 nt
Filed under: uncultured bacterium
Lineage: Bacteria
Description: bacterial SSU rRNA
Rfam family: Bacterial small subunit ribosomal RNA
Source: RNAcentral
GGAAUCUUGGACAAUGGGGGAAACCCUGAUCCAGCCAUGCCGCGUGAAUGAUGAAGGCCUUAGGGUUGUAAAAUUCUUUCAGCAGGGAAGAUAAUGACGGUACCUGCAGAAGAAGCCCCGGCUAACUCCGUGCCAGCAGCCGCGGUAAUACGGAGGGGGCUAGCGUUGUUCGGAAUUACUGGGCGUAAAGCGCACGUAGGCGGAUUGUUAAGUUAGAGGUGAAAGCCCGGAGCUCAACUCCGGAAUAGCCUUUGAUACUGGCAGUCUAGAGUUCAGGAGAGGUGAGCGGAAUUCCGAGUGUAGAGGUGAAAUUCGUAGAUAUUCGGAGGAACACCAGAGGCGAAGGCGGCUCACUGGACUGAUACUGACGCUGAGGUGCGAAAGCGUGGGGAGCAAACAGGAUUAGAUACCCCGGUAGUCC